CUGGCGGCGUGCCUAACACAUGCAAGUCGAACGGGAAUCUUCGGAUUCUAGUGGCGGACGGGUGAGUAACGCGUAAGAAUCUAACUUCAGGACGGGGACAACAGUUGGAAACGACUGCUAAUACCCGAUGUGCCGCAAGGUGAAAACUAAUUGGCCUGAAGAAGAGCUUGCGUCUGAUUAGCUAGUUGGUGGGGUAAGAGCCUACCAAGGCGACGAUCAGUAGCUGGUCUGAGAGGAUGAGCAGCACACUGGGACUGAGACACGGCCCAGACUCCUACGGGAGGCAGCAGUGGGGAAUUUUCCGCAAUGGGCGAAAGCCUGACGGAGCAACGCCGCGUGAGGGAGGAAGGCCUUUGGAUUGUAAACCUCUUUUCUCAAGGAAGAAGUUCUGACGGUACUUGAGGAAUCAGCCUCGGCUAACUCCGUGCCAGCAGCCGCGGUAAUACGGGGGAGGCAAGCGUUAUCCGGAAUUAUUGGGCGUAAAGCGUCCGCAGGUGGUCAGCCAAGUCUGCCGUCAAAUCAGGUUGCUUAACGACCUAAAGGCGGUGGAAACUGGCAGACUAGAGAGCAGUAGGGGUAGCAGGAAUUCCCAGUGUAGCGGUGAAAUGCGUAGAGAUUGGGAAGAACAUCGGUGGCGAAAGCGUGCUACUGGGCUGUAUCUGACACUCAGGGACGAAAGCUAGGGGAGCGAAAGGGAUUAGAUACCCCUGUAGUCCUAGCCGUAAACGAUGGAUACUAGGCGUGGCUUGUAUCGACCCGAGCCGUGCCGAAGCUAACGCGUUAAGUAUCCCGCCUGGGGAGUACGCACGC
RNAcentral lists this ribosomal RNA (810 nucleotides) under uncultured cyanobacterium. RNAcentral describes it as "bacterial SSU rRNA". It matches the Rfam family "Bacterial small subunit ribosomal RNA", at positions 36 to 889 of the family's 1533-position model. The record is from RNAcentral. Lineage: Bacteria; Bacillati; Cyanobacteriota.